RNAcentral lists this ribosomal RNA (1257 nucleotides) under metagenome. RNAcentral describes it as "bacterial LSU rRNA". It matches the Rfam family "Bacterial large subunit ribosomal RNA", at positions 1629 to 2874 of the family's 2925-position model. The record is from RNAcentral.
CCGUAAUAAUUGACCGUACCGCAAACCGACACAGGUGGGCAGGUUGAAAAUACCAAGGCGCUUGAGAGAACUCAGGAGAAGGAACUCGGCAAAUUGAUACCGUAACUUCGGGAGAAGGUAUGCCCCGGUAGCUUGUAGUCGUACAGACGAAGGGCGAUGGGGCCGCAGAGAAUCGGUGGCUGCGACUGUUUAAUAAAAACACAGCACUCUGCAAACACGAAAGUGGACGUAUAGGGUGUGACGCCUGCCCGGUGCCGGAAGGUUAAUUGAUGGGGUGCAAGCUCUUGAUCGAAGCCCCGGUAAACGGCGGCCGUAACAAUAACGGUCCUAAGGUAGCGAAAUUCCUUGUCGGGUAAGUUCCGACCUGCACGAAUGGCGUAACGAUGGCCACACUGUCUCCUCCUGAGACUCAGCGAAGUUGAAAUGUUUGUGAAGAUGCAAUCUCCCCGCGGCUAGACGGAAAGACCCCAUGAACCUUUACUGUAGCUUUACAUUGGACUUUGACGGGACUUGUGUAGGAUAGGUGGGAGGCUUUGAAGCCGGGACGCUAGUUCCGGUGGAGCCAUCCUUGAAAUACCACCCUGGUGUCGUUGAGGUUCUAACCUUGAUCCGUGAAUCCGGAUCGGGGACCGUGUAUGGUGGGCAGUUUGACUGGGGCGGUCUCCUCCCAAAGAGUAACGGAGGAGUACGAAGGUCUUCUAGGUACGGUCGGACAUCGUACUGAUAGUGCAAUGGCAAAAGAAGGCUUGACUGCGAGACCCACAAGUCGAGCAGGUGCGAAAGCAGGUCAUAGUGAUCCGGUGGUUCUGUAUGGAAGGGCCAUCGCUCAACGGAUAAAAGGUACUCUGGGGAUAACAGGCUGAUUCCGCCCAAGAGUUCACAUCGACGGCGGAGUUUGGCACCUCGAUGUCGGCUCAUCACAUCCUGGGGCUGUAGCCGGUCCCAAGGGUAUGGCUGUUCGCCAUUUAAAGUGGUACGUGAGCUGGGUUUAAAACGUCGUGAGACAGUUUGGUCCCUAUCUGCCGUGGGCGUUGGAAGUUUGAGGGGACCUGCUCCUAGUACGAGAGGACCGGAGUGGACAGAUCUCUGGUGUACCGGUUGUCACGCCAGUGGCAUCGCCGGGUAGCUAAAUCUGGAAGAGAUAACCGCUGAAAGCAUCUAAGCGGGAAACUCGCCUCAAGAUGAGACUUCCCUGGGGAUUCGAUCCCCCUGAAGGGUCGUUCAAGACCAGGACGUUGAUAGGUCAGGUGUGGAAGC